UAUCUCUACUUCAAUCUCUGUCUCUCUUAUUUAAACACGCACACGCCGUGUCUGUUUAUUCGGUAUUCAAUGAUACGUACGACAAGGACGAAAAUACAUAAAUAAAUACUUAGAUAUCUACAUAUAUACGUCGUCAUUAACCACAGUCGCGUUAGUUGUUAAACAUCUUCUAAACGGGACGUUUCAACUUCCUAAACAUCGAUAGCACACGUAAGUCUCAAGGCAAUUUUUCUUACGAACGAACGAACACGUACGAACAUUACUUCCAUCCUGGAUGUGGAUUAAAAUGCGAGGGAGAAGCCGAUCUCGUCUUUCGUAUCGAAGAAUUCUUCGCUUUAAGGAAAAGAUACAUUGGUAAGAGUUUUAGAAAGAAGAAUUUUACCGUUCCAGGAUCCACUUAUAUUAUAUCUAAUAAUGCGAAUAGAAAUAUAUUCAAGGUGGACGCUUAAUCCAAGGAUCAAAAGACCGUGAAGGCAACGAACGAAUGUUCUAUCCACCUCGGUGUAUUUCUCUCGCAUGCUUGCGGAUAGAUAAUGACCACGAGCAAACAUGGAAAAAUAAGUAGGAGAACUGAGCGUGAUAAAUGAGAGCUUUAUCUCGCAUCUAUUUUGAUCCAUUGAUUAAUCGGCCUUUUUGCGGAAAUUGCGAGACGACAAAUGGGGAAAAGUGAAUCACACGGAAAUGAGUUAGUCGUAAGCGUGGGUUGAGACCGAGGUCACGGGUGAAACGAAUAUUUCUAGAGGACCAACCUUGAUGACGAGUAGGAGAACAGCUCUGAGGUAUAUCUCGAUGUAUCGAGUCGACAUCGAAGCCAACGUCGCUUUAAAUCUCCUGAGAGGGUAUCCGAUCGAGUAAUUUUUUUAACAGCGUUCUCCGAAAGUAAUUCGUGAGAAACAAAAAUAACCGAAACGCUCGAUUACUAAAUCUCGUGACCGUAUCGAUCCUUUACGUACUCACAAUUUCUCUCUCUCUCUCUCUCUCUUUUUUUUCUUUUUUUUUCCCCGUUUGUUACGCACAACGGGCACGAAAUCGUGUCGAGACCUACACCGUGAAAAAGUGGACCAAUAGAGUAGUAAGGCGGAUCGAAAGCAUCGCGUCAUGUGAACGAGCUUUGACUAGCGAGGCCUUACUCGACAACGAGACUGCCUACUCCGCCACCCCCUCAGCAUCCUACACUGCCUACUACUUCUGUGUUCUCCCGCCGGCUGUUGGAGUCAGUACGUGUGGAAGCGAGAAAUGAAUGAAAAAGGACUGGCAAAGCCUAGUACGAGAAAUGGAAGGCGAGAAGAAAGAAAGAGAGAGAGAGAGAGAGAGAGAGAGAAAAAGAUAAAGAGAAAGAGAAACAGAAGAAGAGAGUGAAAUUCGACGAGUAAGGAGUGAAGAGGAUUGAGGAUGACACGCAACAACCGACGCUUUUUUCCUCGAUAAUUCUGGCGCCUUGUCUCGAGGCCAUGUCACUGACUGUGGGAAAUUGCAAUGACGAAAUUUAAACGGGCGAAACGAUGAAGAGCGAACGGUGAUGAUGUUACGUUCAUGUUCGAGAGAGAAAUUUAAGAGAGAGAGAGAGAGAGAGAGAGAGAGAGAGAGGGAGAGAAAUAUAGUACGAAUGAACGUGGCAGCUGCGUUACGAGUAGGUCAGUUUUGUGAUCGUGCAUAUAUCGAAUAACGAAAUCGGUUAACAUAAAUCCGAUCGAAGUUGAAUUUGUCGAUUGUUGUCUCGAUUGAUUUAAACUAGAUAGAUGAAAAAUUAUAUAACAAUUUUUGUUUUACGAUUAAAUAGAGGGAUAAAAUCUAUCUGUGUGUGUGUGUGCGUGUGUGUCUGUCAACGUACGUGCAUCGAAAAAAACAUGGAUGUUUUAAAAAAUGGAAUAUUUCGAAAAUUUUAA
This is a long non-coding RNA of Vespa mandarinia (Asian giant hornet), 1886 nucleotides long. The record is from RefSeq and is a predicted model, not a curated record. Lineage: Eukaryota; Metazoa; Arthropoda; Insecta; Hymenoptera; Vespidae.